RNAcentral lists this ribosomal RNA (324 nucleotides) under Ventripila marginata. Its description in RNAcentral is "partial 12S ribosomal RNA". The record is from RNAcentral. Lineage: Eukaryota; Metazoa; Arthropoda; Arachnida; Opiliones; Cranaidae.
CCCUAGUAUUAUAAGUUUGUGAAAGUAGUAUAUAAUGAAAUUUAAAAAUUUUGGCGGUUAAUUAUUAAUUAGAGGAGCUUGUUGUAGAUUAGAAGUUACUCUUUGAAUCUUACUAAUUAAAAGUUUAUUCAUCUCCGUUAUUAGAUAAGUUAUGACUUAUUUAAAAUACUAGAUAAGUCUAAUUUCAGGUCAAGAUGUAGCAAAGUUUUUAUAUGAUUAGCUACAAUUUUUAUGAAAUGGAUAUUUUUAAUGGAGAAUUUAAUUGAAAUUGAAUUUAAUUGUAAUAUUAAUUAUGAAGUUAGUAUGAAUUGUAAUAAUUAAUGU